Molecule: long non-coding RNA, 825 nt
Filed under: Marmota monax (woodchuck)
Lineage: Eukaryota; Metazoa; Chordata; Mammalia; Rodentia; Sciuridae
Source: RNAcentral
CGCUCGCCGAGCCUCGGCGCGUCGCCGCCAGCGAAGUUCUGGAGUCUGGGGCGCCCGCCCCGCGCUGAGGCACCCCAACUUUCACGGCUCCCAGAAACACUCCCCCGGCGGGGGGAGGGGGCCGCGGAACCGCGAGCAGGAGUGGCUUUUGUCCCUCAUCCUUGUUUACUCGAAGAAACUUCAGACCGGACGUGUUUAGUCAGAACAGAAAUACAUCUCAGGGCCAAACCGAUAGGAAACGAGGCUGCCUUGCAGUGCCACCGCCUCCCCAGCCUGGUCCCGAGCCCUGGGGCUUGCUGCUCCUCCCUCCGAGCAAAGUUUUAUGCAAAGAGGGUAUUUUUUUAAGGAAUCGGGAAAACUUUCGAUGCACGAUGAUUUCUUUUUUCUUUCCUUUUUUUUUACGGCCUAUAAUUUUAAAAGGUCAACUCACUUGGUCUCCUUAUUUAUUUUGUGUCUACCGCAAAUCAACAAUUUGGCAGCAUAAGUUUUUUUGACCUUUGGUUUUGUUGUUUAAAAAUGGCUUUGCAGAUUUAAAAAUUGUUUAAAUGACCCGUAAGAAAUUCAGAACCGACACAGGCAGAUAAGAUAUACAUAACAUAUAUGGAAUAUCCAGGCUUUUUGAGAUUACACCGAAGGACCGUCUUUUGGUUGGCAUAGCCACUUCUAGGAAUCGGAUAUCAUUGCCAUGUUCCCGUCUGGUUUUAUGGGAAGUUAAUGUCACUACUGUGUUAAGUAAUGAGUACCUUGGUUUUCAUUCGCUCCCUAAGCACAUUUAAGCUGUUAAACAUCAUAAUUUCAUUGCUAACAUCAAACACUUAAUUUAAU